Molecule: microRNA precursor, 63 nt
Filed under: Xyrichtys novacula (pearly razorfish)
Lineage: Eukaryota; Metazoa; Chordata; Actinopteri; Labriformes; Labridae
Source: RNAcentral
CGUGUAGGAGUGUCCGUGUCGGAGUGUCCGACACGGACACUUCGACACGGACACUCCGACACG